AGAUGAUCCAUCCCACCUGUGAUAUCUGGCACACAUGGGGUUGUGAUCAUUUGAGUUUUUAGGGUGUACUGAAGAGCUGCUUCUUGUACAGAGGAGAAAGUCUUAGACUUCAGUAGUGGCCACAAAUCUGGGAACCUCUGCAGACUGAAAUUGAAACUGUUUCAUGAAGUCACCUUCAGGCAAUGGCAGCUCUGCUCAGUGGAAUUUGUGUGGUCCCUUGAAGAUCUUGUGUGUUUUGUCCCAGUUCUGGCUGCCUUUGUUCUGGUUAUGAUCUGAUUCCUAUAAAAUACUUUGCUGUCAG
RNAcentral lists this long non-coding RNA (301 nucleotides) under Numida meleagris (helmeted guineafowl). Its description in RNAcentral is "lncRNA (ENSNMEG00000009321.1)". Lineage: Eukaryota; Metazoa; Chordata; Aves; Galliformes; Numididae. The record is from RNAcentral.